CGGGAGGACCCCCGCUGUUGUGCGGCCGACUGCCGGUGCCUGUGUCCCUUCAAUCGUUGGGCAAUGUGUGCCUAUUGUCUAUACGAGUGCUUGCGUGCUGCUACCAGUAACACUGGAAGUUGCAUUGCUACAAGUUGCUUUUGCCGUGCAUGUCCUUACGGGCAUGUCACGUCAACCUUAAAAUGCUCAUGGCGUUGCCUCGUGUCGUUGGCCGCAUAGGCUAGCGGCAUCAAGGCCACCUCGUGAACGUUAUUGGUCUCGGAUGUGGCAUACUAUAAAGGCUGAUGGUGCUUUGGCACCUCAUGCCUACAAAGUAUUGUCCGAUCGGAAACAACGACAGUUGGCCUGGCUGAUGCCUUGUGCGGAAGCUAGUGCU
RNAcentral lists this unclassified non-coding RNA (376 nucleotides) under Paspalum vaginatum (seashore paspalum). RNAcentral's name for it is "partial external transcribed spacer". The record is from RNAcentral. Lineage: Eukaryota; Viridiplantae; Streptophyta; Magnoliopsida; Poales; Poaceae.